Molecule: ribosomal RNA, 465 nt
Filed under: Vreelandella stevensii
Lineage: Bacteria; Pseudomonadati; Pseudomonadota; Gammaproteobacteria; Oceanospirillales; Halomonadaceae
Description: partial 16S ribosomal RNA
Rfam family: Bacterial small subunit ribosomal RNA
Source: RNAcentral
CCUACGGAAGGCUGCAGUGGGGAAUAUUGGACAAUGGGGGGAACCCUGAUCCAGCCAUGCCGCGUGUGUGAAGAAGGCCCUCGGGUUGUAAAGCACUUUCAGUGAGGAAGAACGCCUGGUGGUUAAUACCCAUCAGGAAAGACAUCACUCACAGAAGAAGCACCGGCUAACUCCGUGCCAGCAGCCGCGGUAAUACGGAGGGUGCGAGCGUUAAUCGGAAUUACUGGGCGUAAAGCGCGCGUAGGUGGCUUGAUAAGUCGGUUGUGAAAGCCCCGGGCUCAACCUGGGAACGGCAUCCGGAACUGUCAAGCUAGAGUGCAGGAGAGGAAGGUAGAAUUCCCGGUGUAGCGGUGAAAUGCGUAGAGAUCGGGAGGAAUACCAGUGGCGAAGGCGGCCUUCUGGACUGACACUGACACUGAGGUGCGAAAGCGUGGGUAGCAAACAGGAUUAGAUACCCUGGUAGUC